UGCAGUCGAACGAACCUUCGGGUUAGUGGCGGACGGGUGAGUAACGCGUGGGAAUCUGCCCUCAGGAGGGGGAUAACGGUUGGAAACGGCCGCUAAUACCCCAUAUGCCGAGAGGUGAAAUGAAUUUCGCCUGAGGAUGAGCCCGCGUCUGAUUAGCUAGUUGGUGAGGUAAGAGCUCACCAAGGCAUCGAUCAGUAGCUGGUCUGAGAGGAUGAUCAGCCACACUGGGACUGAGACACGGCCCAGACUCCUACGGGAGGCAGCAGUGGGGAAUUUUCCGCAAUGGGCGAGAGCCUGACGGAGCAACGCCGCGUGAGGGAUGAAGGCCUCUGGGCUGUAAACCUCUUUUAUCAAGGAAGAAGAUCUGACGGUACUUGAUGAAUAAGCCACGGCUAAUUCCGUGCCAGCAGCCGCGGUAAUACGGGAGUGGCAAGCGUUAUCCGGAAUUAUUGGGCGUAAAGCGUCCGCAGGCGGCCCAACAAGUCUGCUGUUAAAAAGUGGAGCUUAACUCCAUCAUGGCAGUGGAAACUGUUGGGCUCGAGUGUGGUAGGGGCAGAGGGAAUUCCCGGUGUAGCGGUGAAAUGCGUAGAUAUCGGGAAGAACACCAGUGGCGAAGGCGCUCUGCUGGGCCAUCACUGACGCUCAUGGACGAAAGCCAGGGGAGCGAAAGGGAUUAGAUACCCCUGUAGUCCUGGCCGUAAACGAUGAACACUAGGUGUCGGGGGAAUCGACCCCUCCGGUGUCGUAGCCAACGCGUUAAGUAUUCCGCCUGGGGAGUACGCACGCAAGUGUGAAACUCAAAGGAAUUGACGGGGGCCCGCACAAGCGGUGGAGUAUGUGGUUUAAUUCGAUGAUACGCGAGGAACCUUACCAGGACUUAAAUGUAAGUUGCAUGAUUCAGAAAUGAAUCUUUCUUCGGACUACUUACAAGUGCUGCAUGGUUGUCGUCAGCUCGUGCCGUGAGGUGUCAAGUUAAGUCCUAUAACGAGCGCACCCCUAUCGUUAGUUGCCAUCAAGUAAAGUUGGGAACUCUAGCGAA
Molecule: ribosomal RNA, 1039 nt
Filed under: uncultured marine bacterium
Lineage: Bacteria
Description: bacterial SSU rRNA
Rfam family: Bacterial small subunit ribosomal RNA
Source: RNAcentral